RNAcentral lists this long non-coding RNA (1067 nucleotides) under Helianthus annuus (common sunflower). RNAcentral's name for it is "hypothetical non coding rna". Lineage: Eukaryota; Viridiplantae; Streptophyta; Magnoliopsida; Asterales; Asteraceae. The record is from RNAcentral.
GGGCUAAUUAGUUAGAUCUGUAUGGUUUGGUCCAUCUUAUCGGUUUAUACCAAGAAUAUGCCUUGUAAACAACAAAUCGAGAACUUAAUCAUAUGUUUUUGCCACAACAUUAUAAAAUCAAGAUCCAAACAUGCAAACUAAACCAUUAUCCAAAACAAGUUCAUAACUAACAAAUCAUAAACUCGAAUCAAACCAUAUUCCGAAUCGCUUAGGCUUCUGCAGGUGGCUGGGUCACACCAUAUUUGACCAGCAUCUUGCUCAGAUCAUCAGGUGUGCAAACCUGAUACUUAACCUUCCCAGAAGACGACAAAAAGAUUUCAGCCAGUUCAAGCUUUUCAGAAGUAAGACUAGUACUGUCCAUUGUCUUGCUAAGAACCUUAAGCGCCAACUGAACCGCCUCUUCUCGACUAAUAUCAUCCUUAUAAUCCUGUUUCAGCAUUGACUGAGCUGCCUGAUUGUUAGCACCAACAGCUGCCGCCUUCCAGCCGCCAUAGUUUCCACUCGGGUCACUCAUGUAAAGCUGGAACCCGUAGUUUUUGUCCCAACCCGCGAAUAAAAACGAGACACCGAAAGGGCGGAGCCCACCAAACUGUGUGUAUCCUUGUUUGGUGUCGCAAAGGGACUGGACCAGUUGUUCAACCGGCAUGGGCUCUUGGUAAGAGAAGGUGUAGCGUUGGGCUUGAACACGGGCUGUGUUGAUGAGGAUGUUGGCAUCUGACAUUAUGCCGGCUACUGCACAGGCUACGUGAUCGUCGAUUUUGUACAUUUUCUCGGUUGAGGUUGAGGUUUGAAGGAGCUUUGAUGUGACUUUUUUCUCACCGACUAAAACGACACCGUCUUUUGAGAGGAUUCCAAUGGCAGACCCUGCGUUUCCGAUGGCUUCCAUUGCAUAUUCCACCUGGUAGAGACGACCUUCUGGGGAGAAGAUGGUUGUUCGGCUGUCGUACCUUCUCGACAUCUACCUUGAUUGAAUUGGAAAUACGGGCGAGCUGAAUAGGUUUUCGAGCGCAGUGGUGGUGAUCUUAUACUCCGUUCCCACUUUUAUUGUUCCCCAAGCUUUCUUCGUU